Molecule: long non-coding RNA, 278 nt
Organism: Argentina anserina (silverweed cinquefoil)
Lineage: Eukaryota; Viridiplantae; Streptophyta; Magnoliopsida; Rosales; Rosaceae
Exons: 4
Source: RefSeq, a predicted model, not a curated record
UAGUUGGGGUUGUUUCUAGCUUGAGCAUUUCUGUUUACAAUCUACACAAUGAACAGAUGUGGUGCAAUUAUGAUGCUAGUAGAGAUGGAAUAUAGCAGCAAAAAAGAGACGUGUGAAGCAAAAACAUUAUAUGCUUUUGUGAAUGGAGGUGAGCUGAGAGGUUUAAGAUCUUUGGCCAAAGAGUUAAGAUCUUUGUCAGCAAAAGAUGAGAAAUUCACCGAGUACUAGAAGGUUUUAAUGGAAGAAAACAUGAAAAAUAAGUAAUUGGACAGUUCCCU